This 465-nucleotide ribosomal RNA is filed under the name uncultured bacterium. RNAcentral's name for it is "partial 16S ribosomal RNA". It matches the Rfam family "Bacterial small subunit ribosomal RNA", at positions 28 to 507 of the family's 1533-position model. The record is from RNAcentral.
GACGAACGCUGGCGGCGUGCUUAACACAUGCAAGUCGAACGGAAAGGCCCCUUUGGUGGUACUCGAGUGGCGAACGGGUGAGUAACACGUGAGUAACCUGCCCUUGACUUCGGGAUAACUUCAGUAAACUGGGGCUAAUACCUGAUAGGAAUCCUUGCUGCAUGGUGGGGGUGGGAAAGCUUCGUGGGUUUUGGAUGGACUCACGGCUUAUCAGCUUGUUGGUGGGUGGGUGGGUUACCAACGCUUUGUCGGGUAGCCGGCCUGAGAGGGGGAACGGCCACAUUGGGAAUGAGAUAAGGCCCCGAAUCCGACGGGGGGCAGCAGUGGGGAAUAUUGCAAAAUGGGCGGAAGCCUGAUGCAGCAACGCCGCGUGCGGGAUGACGGCCUUCGGGUUGUAAACCGCUUUCAGCAGGGGCGGAGCUUGUGGUGACGGUACCUGCAGAAGAAGCACCGGCUAACUACGUG